AGAGUUUGAUCAUGGCUCAGGACGAACGCUGGCGGCGUGCUUAACACAUGCAAGUCGAACGAUGAAGUUUUCUUCGGAAGAUGGAUUAGUGGCGAACGGGUGAGGAACACGUGAAGAAUCUGCCCUUCACUUCGGGAUAACUCCGGGAAACCGGGGCUAAUACCGGAUAUUGAUACAUAAGCGGCAUCGCUGAGUAUUGAAAGAAUUUUGGUGAAGGAUGACUUCGCGGCCUAUCAGCUUGUUGGUGAGGUAAUGGCUCACCAAGGCAACGACGGGUAGCCGGCCUGAGAGGGCGACCGGCCACACUGGGACUGAGACACGGCCCAGACUCCUACGGGAGGCAGCAGUGGGGAAUAUUGGGCAAUGGACGCAAGUCUGACCCAGCGACGCCGCGUGCGGGAUGAAGGCCUUCGGGUUGUAAACCGCUUUCAGUAGGGAAGAAGCGAAAGUGACGGUACCUACAAAAGAAGCACCGGCUAACUAUGUGCCAGCAGCCGCGGUAAUACAUAGGGUGCAAGCGUUGUCCGGAUUUAUUGGGCGUAAAGAGCUCGUAGGUGGUUAGUUACGUCGGAUGUGAAAAUCAGAGGCUCAACCUCUGACCUGCAUCCGAUACGGGUUAACUAGAGUGUGGUAGGGGAGACUGGAAUUCCUGGUGUAGCGGUGGAAUGCGCAGAUAUCAGGAGGAACACCAAUGGCGAAGGNAGGUCUCUGGGCCAUUACUGACACUGAGGAGCGAAAGUGCGGGGAGCGAACAGGAUUAGAUACCCUGNAGUCCGCACCGUAAACNAUGGANGCUAGUNGNGGGAACCUUCCAC
Molecule: ribosomal RNA, 815 nt
Filed under: uncultured bacterium
Lineage: Bacteria
Description: bacterial SSU rRNA
Rfam family: Bacterial small subunit ribosomal RNA
Source: RNAcentral